Long non-coding RNA from Glycine soja, 524 nucleotides. RefSeq lists it as uncharacterized. The transcript has 2 exons. The record is from RefSeq and is a predicted model, not a curated record. Lineage: Eukaryota; Viridiplantae; Streptophyta; Magnoliopsida; Fabales; Fabaceae.
UUAUAGGUGGUUUUUGAGUCUGGUCCUGGAAAUCUGCAAAUUUUGUGAGCUUAAUUUACGGGUUCACGGUCUAAUCCGUUAAACUAUGUAGUGCUUGUGCAGUUGUGUUGUGUGUUGGGUCACCCACUCACCAAUGUUCACUCAAAUACCAAAAUUUCAUACUCAAACCAAAGUACCAAAUGCUUAUUCCUCUUUUUCUCUUAUGCCACACCAUUGCACCAAACUAGUGCUCACUGCUCACUCAAAACUUCGUCACACAGGCACACAAUGUAGUGGCCGUCGUUGUCCUCUCGCCACCGUGCAUUCUCUAGUUGUUGCGUCGUCGAGCACCUAUGUGGCUACGCGACACCUCCAGGCUCCAUAUCAACCUUGAACUCGUGCGUCAUGCUUUGAGGUGCAUGUGCCUCCUCAUCCGUUGAUCAAGCACUGGGUUUUGGUUUUGAGGAAUGAACAGACUCCUUGUCCCAUCUUAGUGAGUGGCAAAGUUUAUAUAUUUUUUAGUAAUAUUUUAUAAUUUGAGGUCA